Molecule: ribosomal RNA, 497 nt
Filed under: uncultured bacterium
Lineage: Bacteria
Description: partial 16S ribosomal RNA
Rfam family: Bacterial small subunit ribosomal RNA
Source: RNAcentral
GAUGAACGCUGGCGGCGUGCCUAAUACAUGCAAGUCGAGCGAACGGACGAGAAGCUUGCUUUUCUGGUGUUAGCGGCGGACGGGUGAGUAACACGUGGAUAACCUACCUAUAAGACUGGGAUAACUUCGGGAAACCGGAGCUAAUACCGGAUAAUAUUUUGAACCGCAUGGUUCAAAAGUGAAAGACGGUCUUGCUGUCACUUAUAGAUGAAUCCGCGCUGCAUUAGCUAGUUGGUAAGGUAACGGCUUACCAAGGCAACGAUGCAUAGCCGACCUGAGAGGGUGAUCGGCCACACUGGAACUGAGACACGGUCCAGACUCCUACGGGAGGCAGCAGUAGGGAAUCUUCCGCAAUGGGCGAAAGCCUGACGGAGCAACGCCGCGUGAGUGAUGAAGGUCUUCGGAUCGUAAAACUCUGUUAUUAGGGAAGAACAUAUGUGUAAGUAACUGUGCACAUCUUGACGGUACCUAAUCAGAAAGCCACGGCUAACUACGUG